AGUGAACGCUGGCGGUAGGCCUAACACAUGCAAGUCGAACGGCAGCACAGGAGAGCUUGCUCUCUAGGUGGCGAGUGGCGGACGGGUGAGGAAUACAUCGGAAUCUGCCCAGUCGUGGGGGAUAACGUAGGGAAACUUACGCUAAUACCGCAUACGACCUUCGGGUGAAAGAGGGGGAUCGCAAGACCUCUCGCGAUUGGAUGAGCCGAUGUCGGAUUAGCUAGUUAGCGGGGUAAUGGCCCACCAAGGCGACGAUCCGUAGCUGGUCUGAGAGGAUGAUCAGCCACACUGGAACUGAGACACGGUCCAGACUCCUACGGGAGGCAGCAGUGGGGAAUAUUGGACAAUGGGCGCAAGCCUGAUCCAACCAUACCGCGUGGGUGAAGAAGGCCUUCGGGUUGUAAAGCCCUUUUGUUGGGAAAGAAAUCUUUCAGGCUAAUACCCUGGGAGGAUGACGGUACCCAAAGAAUAAGCACCGGCUAACUUCGUG
Molecule: ribosomal RNA, 490 nt
Filed under: uncultured bacterium
Lineage: Bacteria
Description: partial 16S ribosomal RNA
Rfam family: Bacterial small subunit ribosomal RNA
Source: RNAcentral